Gadus macrocephalus (Pacific cod) is the source of this 696-nucleotide long non-coding RNA. RefSeq lists it as uncharacterized. NCBI's taxonomy places the organism in Eukaryota, Metazoa, Chordata, Actinopteri, Gadiformes, Gadidae. The transcript has 2 exons. The record is from RefSeq and is a predicted model, not a curated record.
CCAGUACCCGAUGUCUAAACGCUGUGAUGGUCAUUUAGAGCUGGGGGUUACUAAUGCAAAACAAAUGAGUGUAUUUGUUUCAACACUAUUUAUUGACUUGACGUACCCCAAAUGUAUAAUAUAGGAUUCCCAGAAGCUUUCCUAUGCUUGAAGUGACUGGUUAUGAGUGCACAGGCAAAACGUCCCACCAGGUCUCUUGCAUAUAUUGCUCAUCUUGAUUUGUUAACCAGACCUUCACAAAACCAGUAAAAGCAGUAAAAAAAACAGUUUUAAACUUCAUCACCAUUUUGUCAAAGAUGAUGACGAGUCACAGAUGAUGUUGCUGGUCUACUCAUAGCAAUUUCCGCCAUAAGGAGGAUGGUGCUGCAGGUUGAAAGACUCAGAACUUCACAGACAAAAGGCUGCUGUGGCUUUCUCCCAGUCACCCAAUCACAGAUUAGGUCAACUGUCCAACUGCUGUUUAAUUUCAGAACGGUGUUGGUUGUUGCAUGUAAAGACUCUUUCACAAAUCAAAAAUAAUGUUUAUGUCUGUAUACGUUGCUCGUGAAUGUUUAACAAGAAUUGAUCGCCGCUAUGUUGAACGAGCAAUUAGGAGCCAACAUGGCACGUUGUCAUAGAAACGGUAAAAAAAAAAAAAAAAGAACAGGGAGGCAGAAAUGCUACGUCCCAGUGCUUCCCACCGCCAUGCCUGUGCAU